UUCAUCGUCUCUCUUCUCUACUUGUUCUCAGACUUUCAUGCCAAGAGUUACUCCACCAAUGCCAAGGUCUUCAAGGGUAACUAAUAAUUAAUUAAACUACCUUUUCUUUUCUUUUCUUUUCGUUUUCAUUUUUAUAUGUAGUUAUUGUUUCAGAGUGAUUCAUCAGUUGAAGAAAAAAAUGAACAUAAUUGUCAUAAAUUCCUUUUACGAUUUCAAUUCUUCGGUGUGCAUAUGUAUCUUAAUAUCAAUUAAUUGAAGAGAUUCAUUGUUAAUUUAUAUUUUAUGUUUUUACUAUAAAUGCAUGAUUAAACAGUUCCUGCUGUUGCAGAAGCGACGAUAAUAUUAAUAACAAUAUUAUCAGAAAUAUUUAGAUAAUUAUUAUGCCGACAAUUAUACUAAGAAAAUUCCCAGUUAAAUUGGAGGGGUCACAAAUGGUCCCGCUUAAAACCCAACAACUAGACAGAACUCACUUAGAUAUUUAUAGCAAUAAUAACUAAAUAAAUAUAACCAACAUAAAGCUAUUAAAUAUAAGCAAACAACUAAGAAAUAAAAUACCAGAGUUUUAACGAGGUUCGGCCAAUUUAACUUACGUCCUCGGACACUACCAAAUUAAUAUUUCCUCUAGAAAUAUUACAAUAGAGAAGAUUAACACCAAGUUACAAUUAGCUACUUGGAUUUUUGGAAUGAUAAAACCUAAGGGGGAAGGGUUCUAUAUAUAACAAACCAAACCCCCUCCCUUUCUAUCUUUUCCUAAUGUGGGAUAUUGCCAAUAUUCAACAAAUCUCCACCUUGGUGAUAUUCCACAUCUUCGAACAUCUUCUCAUAACACAAACUUCAAUAGUGUCUUCAAAUUUGCAACCAAUCGCCUUCUUCCCUUUUGGUAGUUGUGCCAGUUUCCACGUCUUGUUUUUCUCUAGAGAUUGCAUUUCCUCUUCCAUUGCACCUAACCAUCUAUUAUUCUCUAAAUUUUGAAUGGCUUCGGUGUAAGUGGAUGGAAUAUUAUCAACAACUGGAAGUGCAUAAGCUACCAUGUCAGUGAAACGAGCAGGUUUCUGAAUUUCUCGUCUCUGCCUUCUGACUGCAAUUGGCUCUGAUUGCUGUUGAGGUUCUUGGGUAGAAACCUCUUCCUCAUCUGACUCUGCAUCUGCCAAUGAAGAAUCACUAGUGGUACCUUCUGCUGGAAUUACCACUCUCUGCUCAAACUCCACCUGCUGCGGAGUACACUUCACCUGCUGCGAAGUACUACUCGAAGUACUACUCACUCCUUCUGGAUUUACCUUAUUCAACAUGGCAGAUUCAUCAAAGGUAACAUCCCUACUGAUUAUCGUCUUCUUUGCCUCUAGACACCACAAACGAUACCCCUUAACACCAGCAUUGAAGCCCAUGAAUAGAGCCUUCUUUGCUCUUGGAUCUAACUUUGAUUCUUUCACAUGAUAAUAUGCAAUAGAACCAAAAAUACGCAAGGUGUCAUAAUCAGUAGCAGGUUUUCCAUACCAUUUCUCCAAAGGAGUCUUGCCAUUUAUAGCAGAUGAUGGCAAAUGAUUGAUGAGAUGUUGAGCGUACGUCACAGCCUCAGCCCAAAACUUUCUAUCUAAUCCAGCAUUAGAUAACAUACAUCGAACUUUCUCCACAAGCGUUCGAUUCAUACGCUCUGCCACCCCAUUCUGUUGCGGUGUUCCACCUACGGUGAAGUGCCUUACUAUGCCACAAUCUUGGCAUAUCUUCAGGAAUGGAUCGCUUUUAUAUUCUCCACCAUUGUCUGAUCGGAGAACCUUAAUCUUCCUUCCUGUCUGAUUUUCAAUUUUAGUUUUCCACUUAAGGAAAACUUCAAGCACCUCAUCUUUGUUCUUCAUAGGAAACACCCAAACUCGUCUGGAAAAAUCAUCAAUAAAGGUGACAAAAUAACGUCUUCCUCCAAGUGAUGGAGUCUUGGACGGUCCCCAUACAUCAAAAUGCACAUAAUCCAGAAUACCUUUAGUAUUGUGAAUCCCAGUGCCAAAUUUCACCCUUCGUUGUUUUCCCAGAACACAAUGCUCGCAAAAUUCAAGUUUGCAAGUCUUUGUACCUUUCAAUAAUCCUUGCUUGGCUAGAGUUUGCAAGGAUUUUUCACCAGCAUGGCCCAAACGCAUAUGCCACAGCUGUGUUGCCUCAGCGUCCUUCUUGGUACUCGAAAUUGCUGCUGCUGUUGCCCCGACCACUGUACUACCUUGGUAGUAAUACAGAUUGUUCUUUCUUAUGCCUUUCAACAUCACCAAUGCUCCUGAAGUUGCUUUAAGAACUCCAUCUCGUAUUGUCACAACUAGGCCUUUAGAUUCUAACGACCCCAAAGAGAUGAGAUUCUUCUUCAACUUUGGGACAUAUCGUACAUCCCGCAAAAUUCUAGUAGAUCCAUCAUGACUCCUCAGUUUAAUUGAACCUAUCCCGGCUAUUUUACAUGUGUUAUCAUUACCCAUGUAAACAACCCCUCCAUCUAGUUUUUGAAAUUCAAAGAACCAUUCCCAAAUGGGACACAUAUGAUAGGAACAACCAGAAUCCAUGAUCCACUCAUCUGCAUGUGAUGUUGAAGAUGUCAUACUAAGAGAAAAGUCUGACUCUGCUUCACUAUUGCAUUCUGCAACAUUUGCAUCUUGCGGAGUCUUCCAUUUUUUCUUCAAUUUUGGACAAUCUUUCUUCCAAUGUCCUUUUUCUUUGCAAAAGGAACAUUCAUCUUUGGCAACAGCUCGACCUUUGGACUUUCUUCUCUUCCUCUUAGACUGACUUUCCUGACGAUCUCUUGUUAACAAUGCUUCCACUGCUGCUUCACUUGAACCUUUCAACUUAUCCUUUCGGCGUAGUUCAUAGCUAUACAAUGCAGCAGUUACUUCAUUGAAAGUUACUUCCGACUUUCUAUGAAGUAAAGUAGUUUCAAGGUACUCAAACUCCUUUGGAAGCGAUCCCAACAACAUAAACGCCAAGUCUUCGUCUUCAAAAGUCACAUCCAAAUUCAACAAAUCAACCACCAGCUGAUUAAAAUUGGUAAUGUGCUCAUUCAUCGUGGUACCAGGAACAUAACUGAAACGAAACAGUCUUUUCUUCAUAUGCAACUUAUUUUGACUGUUCUUCUUCAGGAAUUUCUCCUCCAAUGCUUUCUACAAUUUACUUGCAGAAGUCUCUUUACUGAAUAUAUACUUCUGCUCUCUGGAAAGACAUGAUCGAAUUGUACCACAUGCCAAUCGGUUGAUGGUCUUCCAUUCUUUAUCAUCAACCCCUUCUGGUUUUUCUUCCUCAAUGGCAAUAUCUAGACCUUGUUGAAAGAAGGCAUCUAGAAGCUCACUUUGCCACAUGCCGAAAUGACCUAUUCCAUCAAAAAUUUCCACUGCAAAUCUCGUAUUUGCAAUUCCAACCCUCGACAAAAUGUACGAAGUGGAAGUUGUUGAUAUGGAUGGUUUUUCUUCUGUCAUUUUUGCCAUAGCUUCUAUUUAAUAGCCACCAAAUGCGGAAUACCCACAAGCUUUAGGAAAUGUUUCUGAUGUGUAAGAUCAGACUAAGCUGCAAACACAGAGCAUACUACAAAACCUUGGCUCGGAUACCAAUUGUUGCAGAAGCGACGAUAAUAUUAAUAACAAUAUUAUCAAAAAUAUUUAGAUAAUUAUUAUGCCGACAAUUAUACUAAGAAAAUUCCCAGUUAAAUUGGAGGGGUCACAAAUGGUCCCGCUUAAAACCCAACAACUAGACAGAACUCACUUAGAUAUUUAUAGCAAUAAUAACUAAAUAAAUAUAACCAACAUAAAGCUAUUAAAUAUAAGCAAACAACUAAGAAAUAAAAUACCAGAGUUUUAACGAGGUUCGGCCAAUUUAGCUUACGUCCUCGGACACUACCAAAUUAAUAUUUCAUCUAGAAAUAUUACAAUAGAGAAGAUCAACACCAAGUUACAAUUAGCUACUUGGAUUUUUGGGAUGAUAAAACCUAAGGGGGAAGGGUUCUAUAUAUAACAAACCAAACCCCCUCCCUUUCUAUCUUUUCCUAAUGUAGGAUAUUGCCAAUAUUCAACACCUGCUGCAUGCAAUUGUAUUAUAUUAUCGUUUCUAAUGACGAAGAAAAUGGAACAACCGUGAAGUGAAAAAAAAAAAGUUGAUGAGAAAAAUAAAUCAAGGCGGACAUAGAAAUUGUUGUCGCAGUCAACAUUAAAUAUGGUAAGCAGGUGAGUUAAUAAGUUUGACAGGUCCUCACCAAAAAUUAACUUCUCCCUUUUAUCGUCAUAUGUAUUAUUUAAGAUAUUGCAUGCUUUUGUCGUUUUCAUUACACCAAUAUUUUAUGUCUAGUAAGUUUUGGAACAACACCUCAUGAUUCAUCCAUUAAAUUCCAAUUUAGCGUUAUAUAAGUUUUUUUUUCUUAGAGAAUAUUAAGAAAAUCCAGUGUCAUAUAUACACAACAUGAAAUAAAUUUGGUAAUAAAAAAAAUUUGAGAGUAGGGCACCAAAUUAUAGUCCAGUAUUUCAAAUUAAUUUGGUUAUAAGGUCAACAAUCAAUUAUGCAAAUGAUGUAAACCUAAGACACUACUUUAUCACAUGUAUUGUUUCUACUGAUUAGUUUUAAUCAAUUGAAGUUAAUUGGAAAUAAAAUAAAGUAAUUGAUUAUGAAAUUGAUAGAGAUAACAGGUCAACCAAAUGAAUUAUUUUUCCUAUAUUAAAUUAUAAAACAUUCAAAAUGUAGUUAUGACACACGAAUAAGAUUUAUAUAAAAUAUAUAUAUUUAUUAAAAUUUUAUAUGAAAAUCAAAUCAAAUGAAAUUGAAGUUUUUAAAAUUAUAAUGUUUAUGGUGAAUUCAAGUAACAUCUAAAACAAUCAUUAAAAAAAUUGGAGAUUAAUAAGUUAGAAUUGUUUGGAGAGAUCUUACUCAAAAUAAAAAUUACUUUGACGAAAAUCAUAUUAUUAUAUUUUUUAAUAUGAAAGCUUCAAUCUUAUCAGAUUUAUAAUUUUACUUUAUAUUAUUUUUAAUUCAUAUUGUAAUUAUAAUUUAUAAUGAUAAUUAUUUAUUAUUUAUUAUUAUUUUAAAAUUUCAUAACCUUCGUUACUUACGGUUUGUUUAAGGUUACACACAAAAUUAAUGAAAAAUUAUAACCUCUGCUGCUUGAGGUUUGCUUAAGGUUGUUCACAAAAUUAAUGAAAAAAUUAUAACCUUCAUCACUUAUGACUUGUGUUAUAAAAGGUAAAAAAAUCAAGACAAAUCAAUUCAUCGUGUUUUUCUUCAUCAAAUCUGAUAGACGACUUCAAUUAAACAUUAGAUAAAUCUCUAUUGAUUUUAGUUUGCAUAAUACGAAAAACUUCAAUUUUUAAAUUUGAUCCAAUUUGAAUUUAAAUUUUAUUUAAUAAAAUAUUUAUAUGAUUUUAAAUUAGAAAAUAUAUUUAAAAAGUAAAAAAAUACAGAUUUAAUAUUAAAAUUAAAAAUUAAUGUUUUAACUUAAUUAAAUUUAAAUAUUAAUAUUUAAUUUGGUAAUUUUAAUAUAUUAAAAUCCCAAAUAAUUCUAUCUAUUAAUGUACAAUUACAAAUUAAAUCAACUUUAUGCUCAAAAUAAUUUUUUUAAUAUAUAUAUGAAUUAUAAAAAUAGAAUUGUUCUAAGUUUUAUUCCAAAAUCAAAGUGUUAAAAUGGGAUGCAUUUCUUAUAUUAAUAUUUUAUUUUCAUAUUAAAAUAAUAAAAUGUAAAUUAAAAUGAGUUGAAAUUUAAUAAAUAUUAAAUUACACUUUCUAAUUAACUCCAAUUGCAUAUUGAUUGUCAUUAGGAUUAUCUAAUCACAUUAUUUUUAUAAUACAAAUAUGAGAAAAUAUUUAGUACAUCAGUGAAAUUUUUAACUUUCACAAGUAAAGUUAGAGAGUUUAACAAGUUAUAGGGAUAGAGUAAAAUAUUAAAAAAAAAGAGAGUCAUAUAACAAAAUUUUAAAGUUGUUUGUGAAAUAAAUAAAAAAAUACACUACCACUAUAACAAAUACUAACCUUGCAAAUAUAUUUACAAUAUAAAAUGUUUUAAAACAUUAAGAGUAAAUUAAAAUAAUAAUAAUAAUGUGCAACGCGUGUGGGGCUAAAAACUAAUAUAUAUAAAAUACAAAGUAAAAAAAUGGACUAAACUAGGUUUAAGUUUUGAGUAUUAGAGUUCAAGCUUGAUUCAUAUUUUAAAUGAGUCUAAUAUUUUUAUCUAAAACUAUUUUUAAACUUCAUAAUUUUAUUCAAAUCUAUUUAUUAUAUAAAAUCAAAUUCUUUUGGGAGUCAUUAGGAAUUAAUAAGGAUAAUUUUGGUAGUAAAAGUUAAAGACAAUUAUAUAUUUUGGAAAAAAUAAUUAUUUUAAAAUUUAAUAAAACUAACUCCCUUUUAGUAAUUAGGAAUUAAUAAGCACAAUUUAGACAUUAAAAGUUUAGAUAAUUGAAAUUUUUUAAUUACUUAUUUUAAAAUUUUUUAUUCCAUUUUAAUUAUUUGUAUUUAAAUUGUUCUUUUAAGUCCAAAUGAAAUUAUUUAUGCUUAAUUCAUUAAUCUUUUACCAAAAUUUUUUUUUAAAAAUUUUUAAUAAUUUAAUAAUUUAAUUUUAAUAUAAAAAAUCUAUAUUCCAAGAAUUUACAUACCAAAAUGUAUAUAAAAAAUUUAGAUAGUAAGUUGAUGUUUUUAAAGGAAAAGGUGAGUAAAAAAUAAAAUAUUUUUAAGAUUAUUCAAAAGAUAAUAUCUGCAGUAGUAUCAGUAUCAGUAUCAGUAUCUAUAUGUAUUAAUAUCAUAUUUACUUUUGUUUUCUUCUAAAUUUAAAUUGGUUAGUUUCUUUAGUUUUACUUAAUAUAUUAUUAUUAAAAAAUUUAAUAAAUUUUCAAUUGAACUUUAAUUUCAGCUACACAUUUUGUAUAUGGUAAUAUUUGUUAUUAAGAAUAUUUGAUAUAUUAAUUAGCUUUUCAGUUACAAGUUUUUUUUGUAUAAAUAUUGUUCCAUCUUAUUAUUUUAUCCUAAUUUUCGUUUGAUCGUAAUUUUAUCUUAAUUUUUAAUUUUUUUUUCUCUACUAAGAGGUUAGUUUUUUAAAUGGAUACACGUGUUUACAUGCUAUUUUUAAAUAAAUUAUUAGUUUUUUUUAUCUAUUUCUUUGUUUUUCAAUGUCAAGCUCGAGUCUAAAACUUUUUUAUUUUUAAAUUGAGAGUAUAAUUUUUUUUCUAGUCUUCGUCGUAUUCUAACAUAAAAAAUUAAAAAUCCAUUAAUAACACUAUUUACUAAUAUUAUACAAAUAUAUAUCCAAAAUAGAUUACAAGAUUUCCUUUUAUGUCCAUUUUUAAUAUUUUUUUAUAAUAAUUCCAUGCAAGGGAAAAAUCAGGAUUUUAUUGUUUGAAGUUUAGAUAAAGCAUUUCUCUUUUCAAUUUUCUUACUCUUUUUUGUUGCACGUGAAAAAGUUAUUGGUGCUACCGCCCAGCUUUGGAUAUCAUUCUAUAUUUAAAUUGGGUAUAUUUCAUUUAUAUGAUUUGACAUGUUGAUGGCAUAUUUUAUAAAAUCAUAACAAUUUUCCAUAUAAGGUAAAAUUGUAUUUUAGAUAUCUAUUAUUGAUAGUAGUAAUUAAUUUUUUUGCUGGUAUUUUUUAAAGAGAUAAACGAUUAAUCAUGAAAUAUGCUCUAUUCUUAAUAAAGAGGCAAUGGAAGAAGAUUGUAUUUGAGUUGUUCGAUUAAAAAUUUUCAAAAUUGACUUGGAAAGAAGAAGUCAAAUAGAUUUAAAAAUAAUAAUAAAGAAAAAAAAUACAGAAACAACUAAAAGAAAAAAAUUAAGAACAAAGAAUAAAGAUUUAAAACAAUAAAUAAAUAAAACGAAAAUUAAAAAGUGGUUUAAAAAAUCGAUUGAUAUAAUAGCUAGAUGAAUAAGUGUCCAAUUGAACCAUUUGAGACAAAAAUCACAACAAAUUCAAUUAAUAACUCUAAUGGAACUCUAAUUAAUCUAAAUAAAAAAAAAUUAUAUGAUAAAGCAAGUUCUGAUGAAAAAUUCCUAUUACAUAGUGAGAUGACAAGUAAUGGAUUUUGAUAACAAUUUUUAUUAAAGUGGGAAGUGAUAAUGUAGUGAAUUAAUUUGGUAAAAGUUUUGUUCUUGUCAAGCCAUGAAAAGAUAAAAGUAAUAAAUUAUGGUAAUAAUGAAUCAUAUAAAUAUGGAAUUAUCUGUUAAUUAUUAAAAUAUGCUUUAUUAAGAUAUGUUCAAGAAUUAUAAUAGUAGUAAUUUUUUAUAUAUAGAGUUUAAGGUAAAAAAAAAGAGAUUAUUCCUGGGUACUUACUAAGCUUUUACAAGUGUAACGUGUGUUUUAAACACGUAGAUGGAAGAUCGAAUUAAAGCUCUAGAUUCAGGUUGAGAUUUCAACUCAUCUCAUCUCAUAACCAAGGUUUGAAGAGAGUACAAAUUUGAUAUUUUGGUUAUAGAAUAUGACAUGUACACAAGUUAUUGCCAGUGUUUUGAUAUUUUGAGUUUUAUAAUGAUUAGUUGACGUGAAAUAGUCGAAGUUGCUUCGGCAAUUAAUGUAACAUCUCAGUACUUUGACCCGAUGUUUGGGUCGGAUAUGAGGGUGUUACAUUGUUGGUAACUAUUUUGUAACUUUUCAUAAUUAGGUGACAAAAAAUUUCACUAAUAGUUAGAUAUUAAUUUUAUAAUUUUUCAUACUUGGGUGAACAAAAAGAAUUUACUAAUAGUUGAAGAAUUUACUAAUAGUUCAGUGAGUAAUAGUUUGAUUUACCCAAAAAUCUAUGUACUUACAAGUUACAAGAGGGGUAGGCUAAUUACCCCCUAUCCAUAAAUGAAUUCAUUACUGGCGGACCAUUAUCCAUAAAUGAAUAAACAUAAACAGGAAUGCAGUGGAAGUGGAUGGAUCAAUGAUAUCCAGUACCGGUAGGCAGUUGAGGUAGAGAAAAUAUUGGGUCAUACUUUUCAGUGCUUUUAAAGGCAAUCCCCCUCCCCUCCUCCUUUUUGCUGCAGCUUUAUUAACUGACGUAGUGCUAGAGUAGUAAAGGCAGCAGCAAGAUGGAAGUCCCCUUUUUCCCAACCCUUUUCUCCUGUAUCAAAGGCUUGGUGGUGCAACAAGCCUUGUUCUCAACCUUGGAGGAUUGGCUAGUGAAGCAUCCCAAAAUCCUCCAGUUUUCAUGGGAAAAUGGCCAAACACCAGCCUCCUCUCACCGCUUCCUCACCCUCACUGUCUUGUCUUACAUCUCUUUCACCUUCGUUCUCUCCCAACUAUCUCGCCCUUCACUUUCACGUCCACUCCUCAAAUCAAUCGCAGCCGUCCACAACAUCUUCCUCCUUACCCUUUCUUUCAUCAUGGCCCUGGGUUGCCUCGUUUCCAUCUUCUCCCAGGUGCCUAACUUCAACACCCUCGUUUGCUUCCCUAGGGGUACAUCCCCAUCGGGCCCUCUCUUUUUCUGGGCAUACAUCUUCUACCUCUCCAAGAUUGUUGAAUUCAUGGACACCCUUUUGAUCAUCCUCAGCGGAUCCAUGAAGAGGCUAUCCUUCCUUCACGUCUACCAUCACUCCAUGGUGGUCAUCAUGUGUUAUAUUUGCUUAGACAGUGCUCAGUCCUCCGUACCCAUGGUGCUGAUCACCAACUGCGUGGUGCAUGUCGUAAUGUACUCCUAUUACCUGUUGUGCACCCUGGGGAUGCACCCCAAGUGGAAGAAAAUGGUGACGGAUUUUCAACUGGUGCAGUUCCGGUUAAGCUUUUUGAUCAUGGCCAUGCUUGUGUUCUACCACUUCACUGCUUCUGGCUGCUCUGGGAUUCUGAGUUGGUGUUUCAAUGGAGCCUUCAACGUCUCUCUUCUCUACUUGUUCUCAGACUUUCAUGCCAAGAGUUACUCCACCAAUGCCAAGGUCUUCAAGGGUAACUAAUAAUUAAUUAAACCAACUUUUUUUUGUUUUUCCAUUUCGUUUCCAUUGUUACAUGUAGUAAUUGUUUCAGAGUGAUUCCGUUCAAGCUCAUGAAUCUGGUAUAGAAUCUUAAUUGUGAAAG
RNAcentral lists this long non-coding RNA (9967 nucleotides) under Gossypium barbadense (sea-island cotton). RNAcentral's name for it is "long non-coding RNA (GBAR_LNC013095)". The record is from RNAcentral. Lineage: Eukaryota; Viridiplantae; Streptophyta; Magnoliopsida; Malvales; Malvaceae.